Molecule: RNA transcript, 503 nt
Organism: Octodon degus (degu)
Lineage: Eukaryota; Metazoa; Chordata; Mammalia; Rodentia; Octodontidae
Gene name: 60S ribosomal protein L27 pseudogene
Exons: 1
Source: RefSeq, a predicted model, not a curated record
GGCUGGGGACGGCUUGCGGCCUUACGGAGUCCUGAGCGGCCCCCUCUCACUCUGCAGCGAUGGGCAAGUUCAUGAAGCCGGGGAAAGUGGUGCUGGUCCUUGCCGGACGCUACUCCGGACGCAAAGCCGUCAUCGUGAAGAACAUCGACGACGGCACCUCCGACCGCCCCUACAGCCACGCCCUGGUGGCCGGGAUUGACCGCUACCCCUGCAAAGUGACAGCCGCCAUGGGCAAGAAGAAAAUCGCCAAGAGGUCGAAGAUCAAGUCCUUUGUGAAGGUGUAUAACUACAACCACCUCAUGCCCACAAGGUACUCGGUGGACAUCCCGCUGGACAAGACCGUGGUCAACAAGGACGUCUUCAGGGACCCCGCCCUCAAGCGCAAGGCCCGGCGGGAGGCGAAGGUCAAGUUCGAGGAGAGAUACAAGACGGGCAAGAACAAGUGGUUCUUCCAGAAGCUCCGGUUUUAGGUGUUUUUUGUUUGUCAUUAAAAAAAUUAAAAA